Molecule: ribosomal RNA, 393 nt
Filed under: uncultured bacterium
Lineage: Bacteria
Description: partial 16S ribosomal RNA
Rfam family: Bacterial small subunit ribosomal RNA
Source: RNAcentral
AUACGGAGGAUCCGAGCGUUAUCCGGAUUUAUUGGGUUUAAAGGGAGCGUAGGUGGACAGUUAAGUCAGUUGUGAAAGUUUGCGGCUCAACCGUAAAAUUGCAGUUGAUACUGGCUGUCUUGAGUACAGUAGAGGUGGGCGGAAUUCGUGGUGUAGCGGUGAAAUGCUUAGAUAUCACGAAGAACUCCGAUUGCGAAGGCAGCGCACUGGACUGCAACUGACACUGAUGCUCGAAAGUGUGGGUAUCAAACAGGAUUAGAUACCCUGGUAGUCCACACAGUAAACGAUGAAUACUCGCUGUUUGCGAUAUACAGUAAGCGGCCAAGCGAAAGCAUUAAGUAUUCCACCUGGGGAGUACGCCGGCAACGGUGAAACUCAAAUGAAUUGACGGGG